GUGUCAGCCGCCGCGGUAAGACGAAGGGGGCUAGCGUUGUUCGGAAUUACUGGGCGUAAAGCGCACGUAGGCGGCCCUUCAAGUCAGAUGUGAAAGCCCCGGGCUUAACCCGGGAACUGCAUUUGAUACUGUUGGGCUAGAGACCGGGAGAGGAUAGCGGAAUUCCCAGUGUAGAGGUGAAAUUCGUAGAUAUUGGGAAGAACACCAGUGGCGAAGGCGGCUAUCUGGACCGGUACUGACGCUGAGGUGCGAAAGCGUGGGGAGCAAACAGGAUUAGAAACCCUAGUAGUCC
This 292-nucleotide ribosomal RNA is filed under the name uncultured bacterium. RNAcentral describes it as "partial 16S ribosomal RNA". It matches the Rfam family "Bacterial small subunit ribosomal RNA", at positions 505 to 796 of the family's 1533-position model. The record is from RNAcentral.